RNAcentral lists this ribosomal RNA (1378 nucleotides) under uncultured bacterium. RNAcentral describes it as "16S ribosomal RNA". It matches the Rfam family "Bacterial small subunit ribosomal RNA", at positions 30 to 1399 of the family's 1533-position model. The record is from RNAcentral.
UGAACGCUGGCGGUAUGCUUAACACAUGCAAGUCGAACGGAAACGAUACUAGCUUGCUAGUAGGCGUCGAGUGGCGGACGGGUGCGUAACGCGUAGGAAUCUGCCUGAUAGUGGGGGAUAGCCCGAAGAAAUUCGGAUUAAUACCGCAUAAUCUAUUCGUAGUAAAGUGGGGGACUUUCGAGCCUCACGCUAUCAGAUGAGCCUGCGUAAGAUUAGCUUGUUGGUAGGGUAAAAGCCUACCAAGGCGACGAUCUUUAGCUGGUCUGAGAGGAUGAUCAGCCACAUCGGGACUGAGACACGGCCCGAACUCCUACGGGAGGCAGCAGUGGGGAAUAUUGGACAAUGGGGGCAACCCUGAUCCAGCAAUACCGCGUGUGUGAAGAAGGCCUGAGGGUUGUAAAGCACUUUCAAUUGUGAAGAAAAGUUAGCGGUUAAUAACCGUUAGCCUUGACGUUAACUUUAGAAGAAGCACCGGCUAACUCCGUGCCAGCAGCCGCGGUAAUACGGAGGGUGCAAGCGUUAAUCGGAAUUACUGGGCGUAAAGCGUGCGUAGGCGGUUUAUUAAGUCAGAUGUGAAAGCCCCGGGCUUAACCUGGGAACUGCAUUUGAAACUGGUCAACUAGAGUAUGGUAGAGGAAAGUGGAAUUUCUGGUGUAGCGGUGAAAUGCGUAGAUAUCAGAAGGAACAUCAAUGGCGAAGGCAGCUUUCUGGACCAAUACUGACGCUGAGGUACGAAAGCGUGGGUAGCAAACAGGAUUAGAUACCCUGGUAGUCCACGCCGUAAACGAUGAUAACUAGCCGUUGGGGGGAUUUACCCUUUAGUGGCGAAGCUAACGCGUUAAGUUAUCCGCCUGGGGAGUACGGCCGCAAGGUUAAAACUCAAAGGAAUUGACGGGGACCCGCACAAGCGGUGGAGCAUGUGGUUUAAUUCGAUGCAACGCGAAGAACCUUACCUGGUCUUGACAUCCUGCGAACUUUCUAGAAAUAGAUUGGUGCCUUCGGGAACGCAGUGACAGGUGCUGCAUGGCUGUCGUCAGCUCGUGUCGUGAGAUGUUGGGUUAAGUCCCGUAACGAGCGCAACCCCUAUCCUUAUUUGCCAGCACAUCAUGGUGGGAACUAUAAGGAGACUGCCGGUGAUAAACCGGAGGAAGGCGGGGACGACGUCAAGUCAUCAUGGCCCUUACGACCAGGGCUACACACGUGCUACAAUGGGAAGGACAAAGAGCCGCGAAGCCGCGAGGUGUAGCUAAUCUCAUAAACCUUUUCGUAGUCCGGAUUGGAGUCUGCAACUCGACUCCAUGAAGUCGGAAUCGCUAGUAAUCGUAGAUCAGAAUGCUACGGUGAAUACGUUCCCGGGUCUUGUACACACCGCCCGUCA